CAGGAAUUCCUCGUCAUUUAUACGCCGAAAAGAGCUGAAAAAUUUCUCCACUGUCAGCUGUUAAUGGAAAAUACAAGAAAUUAGGAACUAACGCUUUGAUAGGUAGACGAAAAAGAGGAGAAAUAAGGUUUUUACACAGGUCAUGGGAGCGGAAGGAAUGGAAGACGACCAAGAAGAUGCUCAGAGAACUCUUCCCCACCCCAGCAAUGCCCCCAGAAUCCAAGUAACACGAGCAGAGAGUUUGGAGAACACACAGAGUGAUAAUGAAGAGGACAGUGAAGAAACGAGGAGGAGGCUGAGUCGGCAGACCUCGGAGCGGAGGGGAUCUGUCCCCACUGGACUAGUGGAGCAUCAUCUGAACCCUCAAACACACUCUUUAUGUGGACAAAUUCUUAGGGUUAUGGGGGAUGAGCAUUAUUCUAAAGGCUUAGGCCAACAUUUGAGGUAUAUGGGGGAUGAGAUGUGUUAUUCUUACCACAUACGGAAUAGUUACUACUCCGCUCAAAGAAACAGUUCGAAUUUGACAAACAGUCAUUCGUUACCAGACUUAAGGAGACACAAAGACUGAACCUUGUGAUAUUAGCAGUGAUAUCAAUAAUCACUGGAUGCUGUGGUAUUAAUAUUGGACUGUGAUGAAGAGGAGAAAUCAGAACGCAGUUCUUCCUUCAUAGAAAGUGUGAAAUAGCUAGGUUUUAUUGUGACAUACUGUGUUUGUAAACCCAGCUGAAUUCAUCUUUUGAUAGUCCAUGGACUAAAGAGAGAAACACAUAGAAAUGAAAAGUGAAAUAUGCAUUGCAUGCACAUUGACUUUUGUAAGUUGGGGGAGUUUAGUGAGUUGAAUCGGAAAAGGCCAUUUCUAUUCAUGAUAAGUGCAUUUCCAAGCAGACCUAUAUUUACCUGUAGAUAUGAGAGGUGAUUAUUGUAUAGGAUGUGUUGACAGUGUGCAGAAGGUUGACAGUUUUUAGGUUAUUGGUAGUGAUAUCGGGUUUUUUCCCCCCUGUUUUGUUUACUGUUUUAGAUUUUAUUUCAAAGUUGAUAAACAACUAGAUCAGCAGAGUAAUAAACAAAGUGCCAUAUUUAAAUGCUCCCAUUGACAAGCGUUUUAGUCAUGUGGAGGAAAAAGUCGAGCACACAGGUAAACAUGUUUACCUUGAAGGUUGAUGUCGUAAUUUUUAUUUACUUUCUUGUUGCUAAAGGCUUUGCCAGACUCUAUAUUUAUUAGGCUAGCUAUUCUGAGACUACUUGGUUCACAGACCUUCUUUCAUUCAUAAGUUCAGAUUUUGAUGGUAUGUUCUUUGUUAAUUGAUUAUUUCCAUUUCACUGUGAUGUCAGUGUUCUUUUGAUAAAGACCUUUAGAUUUAAGGGAUUUGUAGUGUGUAUGAAAAUCCUCAAACUGCUGUUAAAAUAUUUUGAAGGUUAUGAACAUUUUAAGAAGGUCUCAUUCAUAAUUUAUGAGUACUUAAUGAUAUCAACACCUGUUAAAUUUCAUUUGUUUUAAAAAAUUUUUGUGAUUAAGGAGUGUAUAAGAUUUUGACUGCAUUUUGCUGUAUAUUAACAUGAUUAAUUUUCAUUAUUUGGUUAAUGACCCGUUACUGCUUUAAACAAGGGUGGUGCUUUACUAUUGUAAUUUUAAGCAAAAGCCAUUUUAAAGAAUAUAGUUUAGUUAAUGAAUACAUUGUUUAAUUGCAUGACGUAAUGCAAGAUUAGUGAUGUUGCAGAAUAUUGCACAACAGCAUUAGAUAUGUACAACCUUUUUUAUGCACCAAUAAUCUCACAUAUUAUUGCAUGUCACUCAGCCAGUUGUUCAAGUUUUAUUGAAUACAUUAAGAAUAACCAGAAAUUGUCCUACUUUUAAACCUACAAUAUUCUUUGCAUUUUAUAUCCACAAGAUCGAAAGUUUGAGAGGGGGGGGGGUGUUGUUUGUUAGUCCAAAACUUUGACCUUGAUCAUAACUUUUGAACAUCAGGUGAAGAUGGAGACAUUUCUACUGAUAAACUGAAAGUCCAGCUUAUUCUUCUUGAUGAGAUAGUGAUCAAGCUCAGGUCUAUACGAUGAAAUAAAGGUCCAGCCCAGUCUUCUUGAUGAGAUAGAGAUCAAGCUCAGGUCUAUACGACGAGAUAAAGGUCCAGCUCAGUCUUCAUGAUGAGAUAGAGUUCAAGCUCAGGUCUAUACGACGAGAUAAAGGUCCAGCUCAGUCUUCAUGAUGAGAUAGAGUUCAAGCUCAGGUCUAUACGACGAGAUAAAGGUCCAGCUCAGUCUCUGUGAUGAGAUAGAGUUCAAGCUCAGGUUUAUAUGACGAGAUAAAGGUCCAGCUCAGACUUUGUGAUGGGAUAGAGUUCAAGCUCUGGUCUAUAUAACGAGAUAAAGGUCCAGCUUAGUCUUUGUGACAAGAAAAAGGUCAAUGCAUGGUAUUGUAUGAGUACAAAACUGGAAUUUGGGAUGUGAGGGUAGAGUGUUUCACUUACCCUUCCUUUUGUUAAUGUUUGGUAUAACUAGAUACUGUAGAAGGUGCUUCUCUGGUGUUGCUGAUAUUACAUAUAUAUAUGUAUAUAUACAUGUAUAUAUAUAAAAUUGAAGAAACUAGUCGAGUAUACUCAAUUGGCAUUGGGAUAUUUUUAUUAUAUAGACAGACAGGUUAAGAAAUGUUGUAUAUUUAUCUUAAGUAUCUUUAUACAUGUAGAUAUUUAUACAUGUAAGUUCAGUAAUUAGGACAGGAUAUGAUUUGUAGUGCAUACAUUGUACUUGUGCAUGCAUUACUAUUUAAGAUAGAUAAAUUUUCUGAUGCAAAUAACUAUAUAAAUCCUGGUAUGAACUUCAUACUGGGAACCAGUAGUUAGAAUUGUUGAUUGAACAUUUUGUUAGGACAGUGAAAAAUUUGAGAAAAUGAAGAUACCACUGUGCAUGUACUUGUCAGAGUUAGGUAGUUUAUCGGGGUUUUACGGUCAUCAGAGAUCUUUCACCUUUAAAUACUAACAUGCAGUUGAAAUACAUAUUGCAGCCCACUUAAAAGCGCCUGUGGACUUUAUUGAAUUCUACACAAAGACAUUCUUUUGCUAAUAAGGAUUUAAAUUAGAAUGGAAUUUGUAAUUUUUUUUAUCAUGGAUUGGCAUCAGCAGAAUAGAACACCUGUACAAGUGUGAACGAUAUAUAUUUGUUUUCAUUUUAAUUCGCAUUCACACCUGUUACAUUGUAAAUGUUAAUUAUUUCAUGUCUUGAAUUAAAAUUCACUUUCCCAGAGCACUGGUAAUGAAAGUUUUGGAUUAUGUACCCUCAGAGGAGGAAAGUUUUAAGUAAUUCGUUAUAAAUGCCAAAAGACACUUGUAAAUUGGAUAUAUAUAGCCUCAGAUGAGGAAACUUUUAAGUAAUUGGUUAUGAAUGUCAGGCAGAUAUCUUAAAAUUCGCCAAUGAAUACAUAGGUAGAUUGUACUCCUUUUUAAAGGAUUGAUCAAAUGAUAUUUCUAUGGCUGACAGUGUAUGAAUUGUGUAAAAUUGUUUUUAGGGUGUUAUUACAUACAGUGUUAUGUGUACGUUAAGUUAUACAUUGUUGUGGCACUAUCUUCCCCGCUACAGACGUGGGAGGCGGGUUACGUCGCUUGUGGUUGUGAGUACUGAUAAGCAUGAUAAGAGAGAUGUAUCUACUAUUAUGUACCAUGUACAGUGUGUUAUACAGAUGAUAAUUUGUACAAGAUAAACAUUGUUACUGUUAAUGGAGGUUAAUGUGUUUAAUUAUUUGUUAUUUGUUAGUCAGACAUCACGGUACCGAUAAUAUGUGCAAUAGGGGAUUAAAUGUUAUAUAGAACUUACCAAAUUACAUAUUAUAACAUAUUGCAUUGGUAUGAAUUGGAAUAAUCAUAAUAAAUCAUAAUAUUGAC
Long non-coding RNA from Ostrea edulis (European flat oyster), 3872 nucleotides. RefSeq lists it as uncharacterized. Lineage: Eukaryota; Metazoa; Mollusca; Bivalvia; Ostreida; Ostreidae. The transcript has 2 exons. The record is from RefSeq and is a predicted model, not a curated record.